AUUGAACGCUGGCGGCAUGCUUAAUACGUGCAAGUCGAGCGGACUUGAUGAGAAGCUUGCUUCUCAGAUAGUUAGCGGCGGACGGGUGAGUAACACGUAGGCAACCUGCCCUCAAGCUUGGGACAACUACCGGAAACGGUAGCUAAUACCGAAUACUUGUUUUCUUCGCCUGAAGGAAACUGGAAAGACGGAGUAAUCUGUCACUUGGGGAUGGGCCUGCGGCGCAUUAGCUAGUUGGUGAGGUAACGGCUCACCAAGGCGACGAUGCGUAGCCGACCUGGGAGGGUGAUCGGCCACACUGGGACUGAGACACGGCCCAGACUCCUACGGGAGGCAGCAGUAGGGAAUCUUCCGCAAUGGGCGAAAGCCUGACGGAGCAAUGCCGCGUGAGUGAUGAAGGUUUUCGGAUCGUAAAGCUCUGUUGCCAGGGAAGAACGCUUGGGAGAGUAACUGCUCCCAAGGUGACGGUACCUGAGAAGAAAGCCCCGGCUAACUACGUGCCAGCCGCCGCGGUAA
RNAcentral lists this ribosomal RNA (516 nucleotides) under uncultured bacterium. Its description in RNAcentral is "partial 16S ribosomal RNA". It matches the Rfam family "Bacterial small subunit ribosomal RNA", at positions 30 to 523 of the family's 1533-position model. The record is from RNAcentral.